UGGGGAUGACGUCAAGUCCUCACUUGGCCCUUAUAGGUAGGGCUACACACGUCAUACAAUGGCUGGUACAAAGGGUUGCCAACCCGCGAGGGGGAGCUAAUACCCAUAAAGCCAGUCGUAGUCCGGAGUCGCAAGUCUGCAACUCGACUGCGUGAAGUCGGAAUCGCUAGUAAUCGUGGAUCAGAAUGUCACGGUGAAUACGUUCCCGGGUCUU
Molecule: ribosomal RNA, 214 nt
Filed under: uncultured Comamonas sp.
Lineage: Bacteria; Pseudomonadati; Pseudomonadota; Betaproteobacteria; Burkholderiales; Comamonadaceae
Description: partial 16S ribosomal RNA
Rfam family: Bacterial small subunit ribosomal RNA
Source: RNAcentral